GCCCCCGUAGCUCAGGGGAUAGAGCACGGCCCUCCGGAGGCCGGUGCACAGGUUCAAAUCCUGUCGGGGGCACCA
This 75-nucleotide transfer RNA is filed under the name Actinomycetota bacterium. RNAcentral describes it as "Actinobacteria bacterium tRNA-Arg". It matches the Rfam family "tRNA". Rfam says of the family: Transfer RNA (tRNA) molecules are approximately 80 nucleotides in length. Their secondary structure includes four short double-helical elements and three loops (D, anti-codon, and T loops). RNAcentral also lists the same sequence under 1 other name. The record is from RNAcentral. Lineage: Bacteria; Bacillati; Actinomycetota.